RNAcentral lists this unclassified non-coding RNA (338 nucleotides) under soil metagenome. RNAcentral's name for it is "partial contains 5.8S ribosomal RNA, internal transcribed spacer 2, and large subunit ribosomal RNA". The stretch from base 2 to 120 matches the Rfam family "5.8S ribosomal RNA", at positions 36 to 154 of the family's 154-position model. The record is from RNAcentral.
UAUGAAGAACGUAGCGAAAUGCGAUAAGUAAUGUGAAUUGCAGAAUUCAGUGAAUCAUCGAAUCUUUGAACGCACAUUGCGCCCAUUAGUAUUCUAGUGGGCAUGCCUGUUCGAGCGUCAUUUCAACCCUUAAGCCUCUGUUGCUUAGCGUUGGGAGCCUACCUACCCGGUAGAUCCUCAAAGUUAGCUGGCAGGGUCGAGGUUCGCCCUAAGCGUAGUAGUUCUUUCUCGCUUCUGCGGCUGCCUAGGCCAUCGCCACAAGCCUUUUAAACUUCAAUGGUUGACCUCGGAUCAGGUAGGAAUACCCGCUGAACUUAAGCAUAUCAAUAAGCGGAGGA